UGACUCUUCCGACUCGUAAAUGCGCGAAAGUCCACAUUUCAUGCAUCAGCAUUUACGGAGCCUUAAAUCAUCGCAC
Molecule: small RNA, 76 nt
Filed under: Sinorhizobium meliloti 2011
Lineage: Bacteria; Pseudomonadati; Pseudomonadota; Alphaproteobacteria; Hyphomicrobiales; Rhizobiaceae
Description: putative ncRNA
Source: RNAcentral